This 451-nucleotide ribosomal RNA is filed under the name uncultured Sphingobacteriales bacterium. RNAcentral describes it as "bacterial SSU rRNA". It matches the Rfam family "Bacterial small subunit ribosomal RNA", at positions 929 to 1382 of the family's 1533-position model. The record is from RNAcentral. Lineage: Bacteria; Pseudomonadati; Bacteroidota; Sphingobacteriia; Sphingobacteriales.
GCGGAGAGCAUUGUGGUUAAUUCGAUGAUACGCGAGGAACCUUACCUGGGCUCGAACGUAAGAUGACUGUAGUGAAAGCUUACAUCUCUUCGGAGCAUUUUACGAGGUGCUGCAUGGUUGUCGUCAGCUCGUGCCGUGAGGUGUCGGGUUAAGUCCCAUAACGAGCGCAACCCCUACCUUUAGUUGCCAUCAGGUUAAGCUGGGGACUCUAAAGGAACUGCCUACGCAAGUAGUGAGGAAGGCGGGGAUGACGUCAAAUCAGCACGGCCCUUACGUCCAGGGCUACACACGUGCUACAAUGGCCGAUACAGAGGGCAGCUACCUGGUGACAGGAUGCAAAUCUCCAAAGUCGGUCUCAGUUCGGAUCGGAGUCUGCAACCCGACUCCGUGAAGUUGGAUUCGCUAGUAAUCGCGCAUCAGCCAUGGCGCGGUGAAUACGUUCCCGGGCCUU